AUGUCGGCUCAUCGCAUCCUGGGGCUGUAGUCGGUCCCAAGGGUUGGGCUGUUCGCCCAUUAAAGCGGUACGCGAGCUGGGUUCAGAACGUCGUGAGACAGUUCGGUCCCUAUCCGUCGUGGGCGUAGGAAAUUUGAGAGGAGCUGUCCUUAGUACGAGAGGACCGGGAUGGACAUACCUCUGGUGUACCAGUUGUCGUGCCAACGGCAUAGCUGGGUAGCUAUGUGUGGACGGGAUAAGUGCUGAAAGCAUCUAAGCAUGAAGCCCCCCUCAAGAUGAGAUUUCCCAACUUCGGUUAUAAGAUCCCUCAAAGAUGAUGAGGUUAAUAGGUUCGAGGUGGAAGCAUGGUGACAUGUGGAGCUGACGAAUACUAAUCGAUCGAAGACUUAAUCAA
This 394-nucleotide ribosomal RNA is filed under the name Staphylococcus aureus. Its description in RNAcentral is "partial 23S ribosomal RNA". It matches the Rfam family "Bacterial large subunit ribosomal RNA", at positions 2529 to 2925 of the family's 2925-position model. Lineage: Bacteria; Bacillati; Bacillota; Bacilli; Caryophanales; Staphylococcaceae. The record is from RNAcentral.